Molecule: ribosomal RNA, 423 nt
Filed under: uncultured bacterium
Lineage: Bacteria
Description: bacterial SSU rRNA
Rfam family: Bacterial small subunit ribosomal RNA
Source: RNAcentral
UGAGGAAUAUUGGUCAAUGGGCGGAAGCCUGAACCAGCCAUCCCGCGUGCAGGAAGACGGCCCUAUGGGUUGUAAACUGCUUUUCCAGGGGGAGAAACUUUCCGAUGAAUCGGGAUUUGACGGUACCCUGGGAAUAAGCAUCGGCUAACUCCGUGCCAGCAGCCGCGGUAAUACGGAGGAUGCGAGCGUUAUCCGGACUUAUUGGGUUUAAAGGGUGCGUAGGCGGAUCGAUAAGUCAGUGGUGAAAACCUGCAGCUUAACUGUAGACUUGCCGUUGAUACUGUUGGGAUUGAGUAUGGUAAAGGUAGGCGGAAUGUGUAAUGUAGCGGUGAAAUGCUUAGAUAUUACACAGAACACCGAUUGCGAAGGCAGCUUACUGGACCAUCACUGACGCUGAUGCACGAAAGCGUGGGGAUCGAACAG